This 497-nucleotide ribosomal RNA is filed under the name uncultured bacterium. RNAcentral describes it as "partial 16S ribosomal RNA". It matches the Rfam family "Bacterial small subunit ribosomal RNA", at positions 28 to 507 of the family's 1533-position model. The record is from RNAcentral.
GAUGAACGCUGGCGGCGUGCCUAAUACAUGCAAGUCGAGCGAACAGAUGAGGAGCUUGCUCCUCUGACGUUAGCGGCGGACGGGUGAGUAACACGUGGAUAACCUACCUAUAAGACUGGGAUAACUUCGGGAAACCGGAGCUAAUACCGGAUAAUAUAUUGAACCGCAUGGUUCAAUAGUGAAAGACGGUUUUGCUGUCACUUAUAGAUGGAUCCGCGCCGCAUUAGCUAGUUGGUAAGGUAACGGCUUACCAAGGCGACGAUGCGUAGCCGACCUGAGAGGGUGAUCGGCCACACUGGAACUGAGACACGGUCCAGACUCCUACGGGAGGCAGCAGUAGGGAUUCUUCCGCAAUGGGCGAAAGCCUGACGGAGCAACGCCGCGUGAGUGAUGAAGGUCUUCGGAUCGUAAAACUCUGUUAUUAGGGAAGAACAAAUGUGUAAGUAACUAUGCACGUCUUGACGGUACCUAAUCAGAAAGCCACGGCUAACUACGUG